RNAcentral lists this transfer RNA (68 nucleotides) under Hoplandria lateralis. Its description in RNAcentral is "tRNA-Leu". The record is from RNAcentral. Lineage: Eukaryota; Metazoa; Arthropoda; Insecta; Coleoptera; Staphylinidae.
UUCUAAUUUGGCAGACUAGUGCAAUGGACUUAAACCUCAUUUAUAAAAGAUUACCCUUUUUUUUAGAA